UAUGUGAUCGUCUCUCGCAUAUCAAUAAGCGGAGGAAAAGAAACUAACAAGGAUUCCCCUAGUAACGGCGAGUGAAGCGGGAAGAGCUCAAAUUUGAAAUCUUAAAGGGUUUCCCUUUACGAAUUGUAGUUUAAAGAAGUGUUUUCUGUUGAGGUUUUGGUAAAAGUUCUUUGGAAUAGGACAUCAUAGAGGGUGAGAAUCCCGUAUUUGACCUUUACUUUCAACUUUGUGAUACACUUUCAAAGAGUCGGAUUGUUUGGGAAUGCAGUCCAAAAUGGGUGGUAAAUUUCAUCUAAAGCUAAAUAUUGGCGAGAGACCGAUAGCGAACAAGUACCGUGAGGGAAAGAUGAAAAGGAACUUUGAAAAGAGAGUUAAACAGUACGUGAAAUUGUCAAAAGGGAAGCGUUUGACACCAGUGUUGUUUUUCUGAAAAUCAAUUAAAGAACUGUUUAUGCUAAGUUGUUUAGACUUUAUCAGCUAACUGUUUAGUUUUGAGCUUUUCUUUAAUGCACUUUUCAGUUAACAAGUCAACAUCAAUUUCUUUUGCUGUAAAAAAGCUUGAGGAAGGUGGCUUGAGAUUCGUCUUAAGUGUUUAUAGCCUCUUGCCUAUGCAGUCGGAGAGAUUGAGGUCUGCAGCGUAGAUCCUUCGGGGCUAAAUGCAUUUGUGCUAAGUUAUAGCAUUUUAUAGACAACUUGUUGACUAUGAUUUGUCUUGUAGCUUACUCGCUUAUGUUAUUUUACCUACGCUUAGGAUGUUGAUAUGCAUGACUGAUAU
This 775-nucleotide ribosomal RNA is filed under the name uncultured Neocallimastigales. RNAcentral describes it as "partial large subunit ribosomal RNA". It matches the Rfam family "Eukaryotic large subunit ribosomal RNA", at positions 24 to 636 of the family's 3401-position model. The record is from RNAcentral. Lineage: Eukaryota; Fungi; Neocallimastigomycota; Neocallimastigomycetes; Neocallimastigales.